RNAcentral lists this long non-coding RNA (9021 nucleotides) under Glycine max (soybean). Its description in RNAcentral is "long non-coding RNA (GMAX_LNC003887)". Lineage: Eukaryota; Viridiplantae; Streptophyta; Magnoliopsida; Fabales; Fabaceae. The record is from RNAcentral.
UUCUCUUAAGCUCUAGUAGUUAAGAAACAUUAGUUGAAGAAAAUAAGAAACAUUAUACCUAGCUAUUAGAGUUUAAGAUGGCUUCAAAAACUUGUUCCUCCCUUGCCCUUUUCCUCACACUCAACCUCGUUUUCUUCUCACUUGUCUCUGCAUGCGGUUAUACACCAUGCCCUGGUCCAAACCCAAAGCCAAGGCCCAACCCCAACCCUAACCCUAACCCCAGCCCAAGUGGCUCGUGCCCCCGUGACGCACUCAAACUAGGUGUAUGUGCCAAUGUGCUAAACUUGGUGAACGCCACUUUGGGUCAACCACCAGUUACCCCUUGCUGCACCCUUCUCGAUGGUCUCGUUGACCUUGAAGCUGCAGUGUGCCUUUGCACUGCCCUCAAAGCAAACAUUUUGGGCAUCAACCUCAACCUUCCAAUCUCCCUUAGCUUGCUUCUCAAUGUUUGCUCAAGGAAAGCUCCACGUGAUUUCCAAUGUGCCUAAUCAUGGCCCAUGAGCAAGUUGCUACGUGCUUAUUCCUAGUUGUGGUUUUCCGUUGUUUUUUUUUUUUUUUGAAAUUCCAUUUAUCAUGGUGUGAUUCUUGUUCGUGCAUCAGUGCAUGGAUGGGUAAAUUCUCGUUAUAUUCUGCCGCUUUAUUGAUUGUUUUAUCAGGCAAAGUGUCACAUUAAAUAAAUUCCCAAUGCUUAAUUUCUUAUGUAAAGCAAAAGGAAUAAAAAAAUGAUAGUGUUAUUUAUAUGGCAGAUAAAUGGUUAAUGUUGCAAAUACAUUUUAAUAUUUAUUGAUGCCAUUUUGUUUUGUCUUUUCGGUGAAUGAGAGCAUCAGCUGAUCAGCAAAAUUACAUUGCUUUCUAACUUGUGUCCAAUGCGCAACUAGAGGAAAACUAAUUCAAGAAAAGAAUAAAAAUGAAAGUAAGCAUGCACAACACUGAGCCCGUGACGAUUGUACAAAGCACUCCACGUGCAUGCACUAUUAUUUCAUUUAAAAAAAAAGCUCAGAAUAAUUAGCUAUUUAAACCAAGAUACAUAUUAAAUUCUAUGGUACCACAGUAACACUUUUAGAGGUUUUGGAAAAUUUCAUAUUUGGACCAAUAGUUAUUAAGUUACUUAGUCAUCAAUUUACUAUAUGUGGUAAUGAAAUUGUUAUAUAUAUAUAUAUAUAUAUAUAUAUAUAUAUAUAUAUAUAUAUAUAUAUAAUUUAGUCCCUAAUUAAUUCAAAUAUUUUUUCUUUUAAAAUUAUUAUUUUUAAUUAUUUUAAUUAAAUAGAUAGAUCUGAUCAUUGACUCUGUAAAUCUUGAAGUUUUGGCAUUCAUGUGUCCUUCGACCUUAAAGAAGUGGAAAAAUAUCCAUGUUAAAUCUACUAUGGGGAAGGUUAAUUAAAAUUCAAUCCACAAUUGGUGACUCUAUCACUUACAAUGCUCUACCUUAUUCCAUGUUCCAAAAGAGCAUGUAAAAAAUCAUAUUUCCUCCAAUCUUAGUUAUAAGCAAAAAAGACAUUUUAUAUUUAUUAAAAAAAUUAACAAACUUUAUUAAAUUGUAUCAUUAAUUCCUAAUUAAAAAAUAAAUAUUUUUUCUAAACUAUUGGACUUUAUAUCAAAUAUAUAAAAAAAAUAAUCUUAUUAAAUGAAUAUAUUUUAGAGAGAAUCUUAUUAAAUAAGACAUAAAUAAUUCAAAUUUAAUAUUCUAAAUCCAAUGAAAUACUAAUUACUGUUCUUUACAAGCCUUCUGAAGUCCUUAGCUUGGUUCCUAAUCUAGAUCAGUCCCCCAGUUCAAGUGUAUGGAGAGGCCUAUGUCUUCCUCCUAACCCUCCUAUAUACUUUAGCCUUUAGAAGGGAUGUUCUGAUUAAUCGGGAUAUUCAUCGGUUGGUGUGAGUUGCGAUUGCAUCAAAAUCCCGUAGAUUGUGGGCUCUUACACAUCGAUGUAGGCCAAGUGUAGGUCUUUCUAUUGUGAGUGAUUUACCUCGGGACGAAUGAGGUGUGGCCCAAUGCGUAGUACUUCAAGCCACGAGUGGAGUAUAUAUGCACGAAGUGGCUUUGGUACACAACCCCUUAAGCCACAAGUGGAGUAUGCACAAAGUGGGUUUGUAGAGUUCGGGUUGACCGAGGUGUGGCACAAUACACAAUCCCUCAAGUCACAAGCUAGAGUGAAGUAUGCACUAAGUGAGUUUGCAGAGUACUAUCAAGAUUGAAAACUUGAAGGUACUUGAAACACACAUUGAAUUCUUAACAAAGUCAACGAUUAUAAAUCUUGCAAGAACACUCAUUGAAUUCUUUUGUAAAGAUAUAAAUGAAUGAAACACAAGUAAAAGUGUCAAAAAUAUCCCUGCUUAAUAUAAUAUAGAAACAAAAAAAAAAGACUAAUAAUACAUGAACCACGCCUAUUAUUACUACAAGAUUUUUUUUAAUGUUACACCCUAUAUUAACACCCAUCUUUUUCUCUAUCCCUCUCUUCUUCUCAUAUCAAAAUAUCUAUGAUACCUAUUAUCCCCCCCUCUCUUCUUCUCAUAUCAAAAUAUCUAUGAUACCUAUUUUACCAGAAAAAUACUUAUAUUUUUUUUAUAUUCAUGAAAUAAUCAAGNNNNNNNNNNNNNNNNNNNNNNNNNNNNNNNNNNNNNNNNNNNNNNNNNNNNNNNNNNNNNNNNNNNNNNNNNNNNNNNNNNNNNNNNNNNNNNNNNNNNAUAUAUAUAUAUAUAUAUAUAUAUAUAUAUAUAUAUAUAUAUAUAUAUAUAUAUAUAUAUAUAUAUAUAUAUAUAUAUAUAUAUAUAUAUAUAUAUAUAUAUAUAUAUAUAUAUAUAUAUAUAUAUAUAUAUAUAUAUAUAUAUAUUUACAUAAUACACGAACUACUUGCUAAUGAUUAUAUAGACUCCAAUCCCAAUCCCUCAGGUGGCUUCUGCCCUGGCGAUGCACUCAAACUAGGCAUAGGUGCCAAUGUGCUAAAUGGGCUGCUCAACGUGACUUUGUGUCAACCACCGGUUAUAUCUUCUUCUUCCCUCCUCAACGGUCUCAUUGACCUUGAGGCUGCACUGUCCUUAGAGCAAAUAUUUUGGGCAUCAACCUCAACCUUUCCAUCUCACGCAGCUCACUUCUCAAUGCUUGCUCAAGGCAAGUCCCAUGUGAUUUCCAUUGUGCCUAAUUACCCAACAUAUCAUAUAUAUCAUCGUACCUACUUUUGCUUUGUGUUUUCCAGUUGUGACUUUCCUUUCUUUUUUUUUUUUCAAAUUCCAUGUGUGGUUCUUGUACGUGCAUGGAGGGUUAGCUUCUCGUUAUUCCUUCCUUUCAGUGUUUUUGUAGUUAUCUGGUAAGAGUGACGCGAUAUAUAUUAUAUAUAGAAGCUCUCGAUGGUUGCUUGUGUAAAUCGCAAUGUACAAAAGUUGAUGAACUAGUCUGUUAUUUAUAAAAAGAAAACCAAACACAAGCGCUUGCAAAUGACCUCGUUAUUAAUGCUUCUAUUAUAUAUAUAUAUAUAUAAAGAGAUCAAAUAUCAAUAUAGUUUUGACCAACUAUUAUCUCAUUUAAUAACUUUCAAUUAAUUAAUAUUUUUGUUAAAACUCGUUAUUUGAUUAAAAAUUCAUUUCACAUGAAUUAAAUAUAUAAAAUUUUAUAUUAAUAUAAAAUUAUUUGUUAUCUUAUUAUUCAUAUAAACUAAAAUUGAUGUAAUAAAAAAAAUUAAAAUAUAUUAAAUUAUAAAUCAUUUGAUUAUUUUUUUAUUAUUGUUUAAUUUUAAUAAAAUUUAACACAUAUAAUAUAUAUUGAUAAUAUGUAAAUAUAAUUUAAUGAUCAAAUAAGUAAAAUUCACAAUUUUUUAUCAAAUUAUAGAAUAAUAAAAUAUUAAAUUAUAUUAAUAUAAUUUCAUCUAAUACAUAUUAAUUGUAUUUCAUGUGUAAAGAAUUUAGUAUUUUUUUAAUUGCAAUUAGUCUUGUAUAGUUUAAUGAUAUUUUUACCAGUGACUUGGUUUUCAUAUUGUUUUCCGUUAAGGCAUUAAUGGUCAUUUUCAUAAACAUUGGAUUUGGUAAAAGUCGAAAGGAUAAGACGAUUUUGCCAUAUGCUUAACUUGGCACUCUAUGGCUUGGCCUUUAUGGCUAAUAAGUAACACAUUUGUUUUUAAAAAUGUAUCAUUUGGCUUGAUCUCUUUGUUGGAUUUGAUUGAAUACUAAUCUUGGUCGUGGCAUAUAAGAAUAUGAUUUGUCCACCACUCGUAUAAUGACAUACAAACUAGCCUAGUUUUAAGCCACAACUUCUAACUUUGCAUCAUAUUCGGUUUCUAUGUAACCAAAUACACCAUAUGAUGCAAAGCCACAAAAUCUUCCAGCACUCUAUGCAUUUCUUUCCAUUUGCCAAUCCUAAAUUCGAUAUAAAAAAAUGUUGUAUUCCAUUAUUUGGUAGAACCGUAUUCACAUCUAACUACUGGUACCAAGUAGUCUCUUUUGAAAUGGGGAGAUUAUUAAAGUUAAACUCUUUUAGAAUGGAAAUAAAAGUCUAAUUAUGUUUAAAAAGUUUUAGAGUUUAAUAUUUUUUCAUAUAUAUUUUCUUAAUGAAAAUUAUUACACUGUUAAUUUGUUAUAAUUUUUAAAAUAAUUAUUACAUUAGAUAUAAUUUUUAAAAUAAUUAUUGUAAAUUAAAGCUAACAAUUUUACUGUACACAAAAAUUUAUAAUUGUGUGAUAAAACAAAUAUAAGUAUAUUUUUAAAGCAAAAUAUAAGUAUAUUCUAAUUAAAUACUAUUAACAUUUGCUAAGGCUAAUAAUUUGAAAACUUUGCAUAAUAUUUUGUUUUUGUUUUUGACAAUCGUGUAAUAUAAAAUUGGUUAAUGUGACUUCACGCCCCACCCCCAAAUUAUGAAGAUUUCACGAGCCAAAAACGCGUGGAAAACUUAGAUUUGAUUUUGAUAUUAAUUGGACAUCACAGAUUAAGUCAAUAAUUGCGGACUUGUUCACAAAGGAAUGUCUAAACGAAACUCUUUUUAAAAUGAAAAAAAACGUAGUACAACGUUCUUCAUUGGCUUAUGGGCCUUUGCUUGUUAGGCUUCUAGCUAUUAUAAGCUCCUAGUUGCAUGCUUCCUGUCGAAAAUUGAUCAUAUUUACAUAAUUGUUUUUUUUUUAACUUAAUACUUUCGUCGUGCAGUGACGACUGAUCCACGUAUCAACGAGAGGAUGCACUUCCAACCCUUCGCUUUUUUGGAAAACACACACACACAUAUAUUUUUUAAAAUAUGUAUAUUUUAUCUUCUUAAUUUUAUAUAUUUGAAUCAUCUAUCCUUAAUUUUAUUAGUAUUUUCAUAAAAUAUUUUAAACAUAAAUUUAAAUAAUAUAAGUACAUACACACUAAUUUACCCUUUGUUCCUUUUUCAAUCCUUAAAAUUUUAAGGCGCAAAUGAAUAAAACAACAAAAAGAUAAGAUAUGUAUUGAAAUUAUACAUAUGGUUCCACCUUAUUUCUGGUUACGGUACCCAGUUUAAUUACAUAAUAUAUUGCUUAUCAUGAAAGAAACGGGAAAAAGGAAACAACUAACAAAAACCAAAUUAUAUAUAUAUAUAUAUAUAUAUAUAUAUAUAUAUAUAUAUAUAUAUAUAUAUAUAUAUAUAUAUAUAUAUAUAUAUAUAUAUGAAAUAUAUAUAUAUAUACACAUAUAUGAAACCAUCAAAUCACAUAGAUUAUAGUUGAAAAUAUCAUUUUUAAUCAAUAGGAAAGGUAAAAGUCUCACUAUUUACGGGAAAUAAAAGAAUUAACUACGACGAAAUUGAUAUUUUUUUUCAAAUUACCUUUCUAAGCCUUUUCAAUCGGUAAAAUAUUUUCUUUAAUUUAUUACACGUAUUUUUUUUUUUACUUUGAGAAAAAAUAAUUUUUUUGGUUUUAUAUUAUUUUGAAAUACUUUUCAUUAAAUAAACAUAUAUAUAACCAAAAAAUAUUAAAAAAUAAUAACUAUUGAGGUAAAUUUAUUAUAAAUUUAACUAACCUAAAUAACUAAUAAUCAUUAUUCACUUCUUAUUUUUGAACAAAAUAUCUACUAUUUACUAUUUAUAGUUUAAUUAUAAGAAUAUAACUUAUAAACACUGUACCUUAAAGUAUUUUUUAUAUUAAUUUUUAAUCAAGGUUUUAUUUUGAUAACCAACUCCAACUUAAUUAAUUAUAACUUAUAUUACGUGGAUUAUGGAAAUAAAAUUUAACUAUUAAUCAUUGCCUUCAUUUUAAAAUAAGUGUCACAUUUAAUUAUUUAAUGUAACAUUAAUUGUUUUUUUUUAUUAUUUCUAAUAAAUAUCACUUUAAUUUUUUAGUCUAAUAUUAAUAUUAUUUUUUAUCUAUUUAAUAAUAUUAUACUCUAUUUUAUUUAUUAAUUAACUUUUUUAUAUGUAUAAAAUAUUAUACAACCACACUUAUUUUCGGACUAGGGAGUAAAAAAAACAUUUAAGAAACAAGAUAGUAAGUUUUCUUCAAAUUCAUAAUUAAUAGCUAUCAGCCAAUUAGCUAGUGGUAGUGUGAGGAUAAGAUUGAAAAUGUAAUAAUAGCUAUUAGCCUAUUAGCUAGCGGUAAUGUGGGGAUCUGAUAGGCUGUCGGGAUACACACUUUUUUUUUAGAAGUUAUUCAAAUUUAAAAGAAGAUAGUUUUUUUUUAAAGACGUAUACGAGAAUAAAUUCUAAUUUUUACUAAUAAUUAUAAUUUAUUAGUUAAAUUCAAUGUUUAUAUAUACAAUUUUAAAAUAAUUUUUUUACUAUUAACGAGCUAAAACUAUUUUUCAUAUGACUUUUAAAAUAGUUAUUACAACAAUUUUAUCACAAAUAACAUUAUACAUCAAUAACUAAUAAGUGGUAAUGUUACAAAUUCCUGAAUAAGAUGACCCGGCCGGCCCGGAAAAAAACAAAAUUAGUCGAGAUUUUUAACAAGAUAUUUUUAUCAUCGAAAGUUAUAUACUAUCUUUUAAAGAAGUAGAAUAUGAAUUAAAGAAAAGCUUUUUUUGACACAUGUAUUAUUCUAUUCGCAUAGCUAAGGAUUGAAACACUAAUAUAUGUUUAAAGAGCUCAAAUUAUUUGCUACUUGUGUAAUAUCUUGUAGGGGUUGGAAAUUUUUUUAUUUGAAUCAUAUGUAUAAAAAAGUGCAUUUCAAUUUGAUGUCAACCAACACGUACUUUGUUCGAAACAGGCUGCAGGAAGAAUAGUCAUCAUCCUCAAAUUUUAGCUAUUUUAUUUAUUAAAAGUUUAAAUACAACCAAAUUAAUCACAUCUCGGAAGGAACUGUAAGGGAGAGUGUGUACUGUGCAGUCAAUUUCCAACCACAAUAAGCAAUACUUAUAAUAGGACCCAGUGACCCAUUAUUUCACAUGCAGAACCUUAUGUACUCUCAGAUCCACCGAUUGAUGGCGGUUCCUGCAUGCAUCACAAGUCACAAGCAUAUAAUACCUAAUUUAAGGUUUUUCCCCGCCAGCUAAAAUUCUCAUGUUCACUCAUGGUCAUUUCAUUAACAUACUAUUUAUUUAUUUUUUUGUAAAAAAAUUCAAGUGUUGAAUAUUAAUUUUGAGGUACUGAAUAUAUAAGUUUUAAUUAAAAAAAAUUAUGUUUUGGUUUGGGUAAUUGGCUCGAUUCAGUUUCGGUUGAUCUAGCAUGAUAUUAUUCCAUUUGGAUAUCUCGGAUAGUAACCCAAAUUUUAUGUUUGGUGAGACUUAUAAGCUAUUGUCUUUUUUUUUUCUUCUCAAUUUUAUGCUUAUUUUUUAUUUAAAAUUUAGUUUUAUCUUUUUAUUCAAUUUAAAAACUUUCUUAUUUUCUUUAUUGUCCGGACAAAUUCUCGUAUUUAAUUUAAUGUUCUUACAUGCUUACAACAAACAUAAUAAUCAAUCCCUCAAUUGUCAUUGUUACAUCAUUCUUUAAUAUUAGAUUUUUUUAAAAUUAUUUCAAUUUUAUAAUUAUUUACUAUUUUUUUUAUUUUAUAAUUACCUAUUUUGAUCCUUUGCAUUAUUUUUUAUUUUAUUGAUUUAAUUUGUUAAGGCAAAAAUAUAUCCUACUUUUCAAGAUGAUUAAUUAUUAAAAAUAAAAUUCAAAUAUUAAAAAUAUUAAUAUAUUAUUUGAUAUUUAUUAGAUAAUUUUAUUAAAUACUUUCUUAAUUAGCUAGCUUAUAAACUUAUAACUUUAUAGCUUAUAAACUUCCAACCAAUUUAUAAGUCAAUUUUUACGAGACAUAGCUAAAUUGAUCCAAACUGAAAAAAAAAAAAAACACACUAGUUUGGGUUGCUAGUAAAAUAAAAUAAAAUAAGACAACUGAAGCUAUCUAACUCAGUACUUAAUAAUUGAAUUGUCGAUUAAUUUAAGUUUGUAUAUUUUACCUAUAUACGUACAUAAUACACCAACUACUUGCUAAUAUUUUAAUAGAGUCGUCAUCAUAUUCUCAUUGACACUUCCAAACACCAUGAGCACUAUAUAAACCCCCCAUCCACACCAAAUUACUCCCAUCUUCACUUACACUCUUCUUUUAAGCUCUAGCAGUUAACUAACAAUAUUAGCAUUUGCUAGUGAUUAGGAAUAUAAAGAUACGCCAACCACAAACAGUUUAAGAUGGCCUCCAAAACAUGUUCAUCCCUUGCUCUUUUCCUCACACUCAACCUCCUCUUCUUUUCACUUGUCUCUGCAUGCGGUAGUUAUUCAUGCCCUAGUCCAAAGCCAAAGCCAAAGCCCAAGCCAAAGCCCAACCCUAACCCUAGUCCUUCUGGUGCAUCGUGCCCCCGUGACGCACUCAAGCUAGGUGUAUGUGCCAACGUGCUAAAAGGGUUGUUGAACGUGACUUUGGGUCAACCACCAGUUACCCCUUGCUGCACCCUUCUCGAUGGGCUCGUUGACCUUGAGGCUGCAGUGUGCCUUUGCACUGCCCUCAAAGCAAAUGUUUUGGGCAUCAACCUCAACCUUCCUAUCUCACUCAGCUUGCUUCUCAAUGUUUGCUCAAGGCAAGUCCCACGCGAUUUUCAAUGUGCCUAAUCAUGGCCUAUACACAACAUAUCAUAUAUAUCUAACGUGUUUGGAAACUCGUUGAGGAUGGAGAAAUC